Brassica napus (rape) is the source of this 4099-nucleotide long non-coding RNA. RefSeq lists it as uncharacterized. The transcript has 5 exons. NCBI's taxonomy places the organism in Eukaryota, Viridiplantae, Streptophyta, Magnoliopsida, Brassicales, Brassicaceae. The record is from RefSeq and is a predicted model, not a curated record.
UACUCACUUAUCUUUUAUAAAAUGAAAAAAUUAUAUCAAAUUUUACUAUUUUAUAGUUAUAUCUAUCAUUUUAAAAUAAAAUAUUGUAUUUAACUAAAUAUGAUAAGAUUAUUUUAAACUGAUAAAUUAAUAUAUUUUAUUUUCACAAACAUUAAAAAUUUAUGCUAGAAAUAUAAUAAGUUGGUAAAACGGGUUAACAUUAGUAAAUUAGAUUAUUCAUGUAUAAAAUUUACUUAUCUUAAAAUUAUAUAUAUAUAUAUAUAUAUAUAUAUAUAUAGUUAUUAUCUUAAAUGAAUAAACAUAAAAAAAUAUUGAUAAAGGAAAUCUAACGAUUUGAAUUACAGAUCAUGAUCAUAAUAAUUGAAUAAAAAAUAAUAUUAAAAUAUAUAUAAUAAAAAAUAUCAAAUAUAUGUGAUGAUUUGAAAUAAUUAAUUAAUUUACAGCAUGAAAACUAUCAAACUGUUAUAUUUAAAAUAAUUAUAUAUAAACAUUUAACAGUGUGUUGUGCUAUAUACUUACACGCCAAACGGUUUCUGCAGAAACAGUGUGUUGUGCUAUUGUAAAGAAAGAGACUUUAUGAAACAAUUUUAUAUGCAGAAACCGUUUGGCAUAUUGAAAAAUGGGUAAACUAUUAAAGAGGUGACGGAGAAGUUCGUUGAGAGAUACAGUAACAUUAAAUUUCUGCAAGAAGUUCGUUGAGAGAUACAGUAACAUUAAAUUUCUGCAAGGCUAUGGCUUGACUGAGACGGCGGCUAUAGUUGCUUCUAUAUUUACUAAAGAGGAGACUGAGAGGUACGGAUCCUCUGGUUUGCUUGCUCCGAACGUGGAGGGUAAGAUUGUGGAUCCGGAUACGGGUCGGGUCUUGGGGGUGCAUCGAACCGGGGAGCUCUGGCUCCAGAGUCCUACCGUGAUGAAAGGUGAUUGAUUCUUUUCGAAAAUGUGUUUUUGUUUUUGGUAUGAAACUGUUUUGAGUUGUUUUUAAAAGGUUCUUUCAAGAACGAGGAAGCUACUGCAUCUACUAUUGAUUCAGAAGGAUAGUUGAAGACUGGAGAUUUGUGUUACAUUGACGGUGAAGGUUUUGUCUUUGUUGUUGAUAGAUUAAAGGAGCUUAUCAAAUGCAAUGGUUAUCAGGUAAUAAACAAAAAUCUUUCUUAAUGUGUGGAUCAUCUUUUGUAAAGUUGGUGGGUUUUGGUAAUGGUUUAAAAUGUUUGUUAGGUUGCUGCAGCUGAGCUUGAAGCAUUGUUGCUUGUUCAUCCAGAGAUUGCUGAUGCUGCAGUAAUACCAAAUCUCUGUCAAAACUGAAUAUUGAUUUUGCUCAGCCUAAGCAGCAGGUCUAUUCUAAGUCGCUGCGUCCGAGUUUCGUUACGGUCCGAGCCAUGUCAGAGUCUCAGACAGCUCUAAAGAAUCAGCCACAGUCCUCGGCCUCCUCUGGAAAGAAGCAAGCUUUGAUAUCUUUAUCUGACAAGUAGGAUUUAGCUACUCUUGGCAACGGUCUUCAAGAGUGGGUAUGUCUUAUUUCAUAUUUUUUAGUUAUGUUUCUGUUCUAAUAAGUGUUUAUGGAUUGAAAAAUGAUUCCUUUUUUCAUCUCUAGAUACACUAUUGUUUCUAGUGGAGGAACUGCCUCAACCUUGGAGAAUGCUGGAGUCUGUCACUUCCAAAGUCGAGACGCUUACUCAUUUCCCUGAAAUGAAAAGCAGCUUGAUGGCCGUGUGAAGAGUUUGCACCCAAACAUACACGGUGGUAUCCUCGCUAGAAGAGAUGUGGAGCAUCAUAUGGAAGCUCUUAAUGAGCAUGGCAUUGGUGAGUUUGGACAUUUGAUUAGCCUUUAUUUUCUAAGGCUGAGACAAGUUAAUCUGUAGUAUUCCUUCGUGUUAAAUAGCUUCAUUUUGUUUUGUAUUGAAUGACGGGUACAUUUGAUGGAAAUUUAUUGUGGAACCGAACUCUUCCUCCGCCAUCUCCAAUAAGACCUGAAAGAUUGGAUGCUUCAGAUAAUCCAACGGCAAAACAAACCUCAUGUCUUCUCUGGUGAACACAGAGAAGUGUCCUUUCUUACACUGCCUCCACUUCUCCAUCAUAUUGGUGAGUUUAAGACUCUUGCAAGAUCCUUUCUUCAUAUGUUUCGACUCUGAUGUCUCUGCUCUUUGAUCGGUUACCAACAUAAUACCGUUGUGUAUACUAUUUGUUAGACUGUUACUGUCUGAAGCUAUACCUUCCUCUCUCUCCAUGUAUAUAUACUACAAAACGUGAUUAGUGUUUGUGAAAAUAUCUCGAACAAAAAAUAUGAUUUUAAAAAUAACUAAUAAAAAGAAUAUGAAAUUUUUUUAAAAAAUAAUUCAAUAACAUAAAAAUAAUUUUGAAAAUAAGAAUUUAUUUUACAAUAACAAAUACUCCGCGUGAAACACGAGAAAUACGAGAAACUAAAAAAAUAUUAUAAAAAUGGAAUAAGUCACAUAAUUUUAAAAGAUUUUUAACAAUUAAUUGAGAAAAAUAUAAUAAAAUAGAACUAAAAGAAUUAAUUAUAAAAAUAAAUGAAAAUUGUAUUUAUUUAAUAACACAUUAAAGAAACCAUAUGCAAAUAAAUGUAUUAACUUCAUGAAUUUCAAAGAGAGUUUCAAUACAACUAAUUUAAUACUGAUAUGAAAAUAAUUUUUUUGUAAUUACAAAUUUUAAAUUGAAACGUAAUAAAAACGAUAAGAUAUAGGAGUAUAAAUGAAAGUGGAAAAUAUAAAACAAACCAAUCAAAAUAUUUAUAUUACCAAAAUAAAGAAGAACACAUUUCUAUUGAAAUCAUCUCAACCAUCAACGUAUAAAUUUACUUAAUUUCAAAAAGUAGUGAAAAUUCAUGAUAAAACCCUAUAAAAUAAAGUAACCACGAAAAUAGUUAUUCAACCCACAUAUAUCCAAACUUUCUCAAAUAAUAACAACUAUUAAACCAAUUAUACAUACUUAACCAAUGUGUUUUUCUUUGCUUUUAAUUUUAAUUGUAAUAUAAAGAAUUUAAAAUAUCCCAAAACCUUUCAUUUCAGAUGAAUGACUCUAAAAUUCAAUGUAUGAGAUAACGUAAGAAACUAUUUACUUAAUCUAUACAAGAAUUAUUAUUAGAAAAAAACAAAUAAUUUUGACUUUGAAACAAAACUACCACGAGACUAAAACAUCUUCACAUAUUAGCAAACAACAACUGUGGUGAGGUAACUAUCUUUAUGCCAUAAUUUUGUUAUGCACAUGAGAACAUGAGGAAUGCAUGAAAUUUAUGGAUCGUCAUGAACAAAAACUAACAUGUCACGGGCAGACAAAUGCUGAGAUAGAUCAAACGUUCCUUAUGCGGUGUUUCUUUAUUGAAAAAGAAGUGUUAUGAGACUAAUAUGAUCUUUACAAUGCCACCACAUCUCAAUAAUCUUGAAAAAUGAAAUAUUGAUUGUUAUUAUUAUAAACAAAUGGAGGAUUUCUUAGUGUUGGUUUUACGGUGAUUGAUAAGUGCUUACACUCAUCGGCCACUACUCAGUUUUCACACUUUCCAGUUUCAAUGUGUUCUUAUUUUGAUUAGCUUUGCACUAAUACAUUUUUUCUCAUUUAAUUUAACAUUUUACUUUUAAUAAGAAAUGCAACUUCAAAUAAUCACCACUUUUGUUCUAACAGCAUGUCGAGCAUGUCGAAAAUCUAAGAUUUAAACAUAAAGGAUAAUUACUUUUAUAACAUACAUAAAAAAUUACCCACAACCAAAUCCGUCACAACCUAAAUAUUACAAAUCACAAAUAACAUAUCAAAUACGAAAUCAAUUUUUUUUGUAAAAUGAAACAACAUGAAGACAUUUGAAGCCCUCACAACAUAACAAUGCCACAACUCUUUAAUAAAGAAACAACUAUUGCAAACAAGCAAAAUAUAUUUUAUCACAUAUAAUUUUUCUUCACCUAAAACUUUCUAAAAGACAAAAAUCAUUAUCAUAUACAUCUAUUGCAAAUGUAAACCAAAAACACAACUCACAAAAUCAUACAAAAAAUAAUAACAUAAAUCACAAGUAAAAUAUAUCCCGUCCGCAAGGCGGGCCGGCCCUAGUUAUUAUAUAAAACUUGAUUUUUCAAAAUUGCUAAUUAACAUGAUC